Molecule: ribosomal RNA, 460 nt
Filed under: uncultured bacterium
Lineage: Bacteria
Description: bacterial SSU rRNA
Rfam family: Bacterial small subunit ribosomal RNA
Source: RNAcentral
UACGGGAGGCAGCAGUGGGGAAUAUUGCACAAUGGGCGAAAGCCUGAUGCAGCUAUGCCGCGUGUAUGAAGAAGGCCUUAGGGUUGUAAAGUACUUUCAUCGGGGAGGAAAAAACAAAACUAAUAAUUUUAUUUCUUGACGUUACCCGAAAAAGAAGCACCGGCUAACUCCGUGCCAGCAGCCGCGGUAAUACGGAGGGUGCUAGCGUUAAUCAGAAUUACUGGGCGUAAAGAGCACGUAGGUGGUUUUUUUAAGUCAGAUGUGAAAUCCCUGGGCUUAACCUAGGAACUGCAUUUUGAAACUGAAAUACUAGAGUAUCGUAGAGGGAGGUAGAAUUCUAGGUGUAGCGGUGAAAUGCGUAGAUAUCUGGAGGAAUACCUGUGGCGAAAGCGGCCUCCUAAACGAAUACUGACACUGAGGUGCGAAAGCGUUGGGGAGCAAACGAGGGAUUUAGGAUACC